GACGAACGCUGGCGGCAUGCCUAAUACAUGCAAGUCGAGCGAACAGAUGAAGUGCUUGCACUUCUGACGUUAGCGGCGAACGGGUGAGUAACACGUAAGGAAUCUACCUAUAAGCGGGGGAUAACAUUCGGAAACGGGUGCUAAUACCGCAUAAUAUCUUCUUCCGCAUGGAAGAAGAUUGAAAGACGGCUCUGCUGUCACUUAUAGAUGACCUUGCGGUGCAUUAGUUAGUUGGUGGGGUAAUGGCCUACCAAGACGAUGAUGCAUAGCCGAACUGAGAGGGUGAUCGGCCACAUUGGGACUGAGACACGGCCCAAACUCCUACGGGAGGCAGCAGUAGGGAAUCUUCCGCAAUGGGCAAAAGCCUGACGGAGCAAUGCCGCGUGAGUGAAGAAGGCCUUCGGGUCGUAAAACUCUGUUAUAAGAGAAGAACAAAUUGUAGAGUAACUGCUACAGUCUUGACGGUAUCUUAUCAGAAAGCCACGGCUAACUACGUGCCAGCAGCCGCCGCAG
RNAcentral lists this ribosomal RNA (513 nucleotides) under uncultured bacterium. Its description in RNAcentral is "partial 16S ribosomal RNA". It matches the Rfam family "Bacterial small subunit ribosomal RNA", at positions 28 to 523 of the family's 1533-position model. The record is from RNAcentral.